AGAGUAAAAUAGUACGUGAAAUUGUUGAAAGGGAAACGAUUGAAGCCAGUCGUACUUGCGGGCAAUCAGCCUUUUGGGUAUGAUUAUGUGGGGCGUGAGGAGUUAAUCACCCUCAUCUUUGCAUAUUUGUGCACUUUGGGUGUACUUGCUCGUGUGGUAGGUUAACAUCAAUUUUAGUCAUCAUAAAAUGGCUGGAGGAAUGUAGCUUCGAUCUCGUAUUGAAGUGUUAUAGCCUUUAGUAGAUGUGGUGAUUGGGACUGAGGAUUGCAACGAAUAUCCUUUGGGCUAUCCGUCUGAUCUCUGAAAGUCGCUUAGGUGCCGAAAGCUUGCUUACGGUCAUUUAAGUUUGACGUUCAAUAGGUUAGAACGGGAUAAAUUCGUUAAGGAUGUUGACGUAAUGGUUUUAAACGACC
RNAcentral lists this ribosomal RNA (413 nucleotides) under Rhizophagus intraradices. RNAcentral describes it as "partial large subunit ribosomal RNA". Lineage: Eukaryota; Fungi; Glomeromycota; Glomeromycetes; Glomerales; Glomeraceae. The record is from RNAcentral.